Labeo rohita (rohu) is the source of this 139-nucleotide long non-coding RNA. RefSeq lists it as uncharacterized. The record is from RefSeq and is a predicted model, not a curated record. The transcript has 2 exons. NCBI's taxonomy places the organism in Eukaryota, Metazoa, Chordata, Actinopteri, Cypriniformes, Cyprinidae.
UAGAUGUUGAAAGCCUGAGACAUAGGAGAGCUUCAUUCUUUCAGGAUUGAUAACUCAAACCAACUUUGGAGUUAACAACACAGAAGCCUACUUGUGUGAGGAGGUGAUCUUCUCAGCUGCUUCAUAAGAGAGGGAAAGG